UCCAGACUCCUACGGGAGGCAGCAGUGGGGAAUAUUGCACAAUGGGGGAAACCCUGAUGCAGCGACGCCGCGUGAGUGAAGAAGUAUUUCGGUAUGUAAAGCUCUAUCAGCAGGGAAGAUAAUGACGGUACCUGACUAAGAAGCCCCGGCUAACUACGUGCCAGCAGCCGCGGUAAUACGUAGGGGGCAAGCGUUAUCCGGAUUUACUGGGUGUAAAGGGUGCGUAGGUGGCAGGGCAAGUCAGAUGUGAAAGCCCGGGGCUCAACCCCGGUACUGCAUUUGAAACUGUCCAGCUGGAGUGCAGGAGAGGUAAGCGGAAUUCCUAGUGUAGCGGUGAAAUGCGUAGAUAUUAGGAGGAACACCAGUGGCGAAGGCGGCUUACUGGACUGUAACUGACACUGAGGCACGAAAGCGUGGGGAGCAAACAGGAUUAGAUACCCGUGUAAG
Molecule: ribosomal RNA, 447 nt
Filed under: uncultured bacterium
Lineage: Bacteria
Description: bacterial SSU rRNA
Rfam family: Bacterial small subunit ribosomal RNA
Source: RNAcentral